Y RNA from Callithrix jacchus (white-tufted-ear marmoset), 109 nucleotides. It matches the Rfam family "Y RNA". Rfam says of the family: Y RNAs are components of the Ro ribonucleoprotein particle (Ro RNP), in association with Ro60 and La proteins. NCBI's taxonomy places the organism in Eukaryota, Metazoa, Chordata, Mammalia, Primates, Cebidae. The record is from Ensembl.
GGCUGGUCCGAAGGUAGUGAGUUAUCUUGAUUGUUCACAGUCAGUUACUGAUCGAACUCCUUGUUCUACUCUUUCCUCCCUUCUCACUACUACACUUAAGUAGUCUUAA